This 932-nucleotide ribosomal RNA is filed under the name Lactiplantibacillus plantarum. RNAcentral describes it as "bacterial SSU rRNA". It matches the Rfam family "Bacterial small subunit ribosomal RNA", at positions 378 to 1304 of the family's 1533-position model. Lineage: Bacteria; Bacillati; Bacillota; Bacilli; Lactobacillales; Lactobacillaceae. The record is from RNAcentral.
AGAGUCUGAUGGAGCACGCCGCGUGAGUGAAGAAGGGUUUCGGCUCGUAAAACUCUGUUGUUAAAGAAGAACAUAUCUGAGAGUAACUGUUCAGGUAUUGACGGUAUUUAACCAGAAAGCCACGGCUAACUACGUGCCAGCAGCCGCGGUAAUACGUAGGUGGCAAGCGUUGUCCGGAUUUAUUGGGCGUAAAGCGAGCGCAGGCGGUUUUUUAAGUCUGAUGUGAAAGCCUUCGGCUCAACCGAAGAAGUGCAUCGGAAACUGGGAAACUUGAGUGCAGAAGAGGACAGUGGAACUCCAUGUGUAGCGGUGAAAUGCGUAGAUAUAUGGAAGAACACCAGUGGCGAAGGCGGCUGUCUGGUCUGUAACUGACGCUGAGGCUCGAAAGUAUGGGUAGCAAACAGGAUUAGAUACCCUGGUAGUCCAUACCGUAAACGAUGAAUGCUAAGUGUUGGAGGGUUUCCGCCCUUCAGUGCUGCAGCUAACGCAUUAAGCAUUCCGCCUGGGGAGUACGGCCGCAAGGCUGAAACUCAAAGGAAUUGACGGGGGCCCGCACAAGCGGUGGAGCAUGUGGUUUAAUUCGAAGCUACGCGAAGAACCUUACCAGGUCUUGACAUACUAUGCAAAUCUAAGAGAUUAGACGUUCCCUUCGGGGACAUGGAUACAGGUGGUGCAUGGUUGUCGUCAGCUCGUGUCGUGAGAUGUUGGGUUAAGUCCCGCAACGAGCGCAACCCUUAUUAUCAGUUGCCAGCAUUAAGUUGGGCACUCUGGUGAGACUGCCGGUGACAAACCGGAGGAAGGUGGGGAUGACGUCAAAUCAUCAUGCCCCUUAUGACCUGGGCUACACACGUGCUACAAUGGAUGGUACAACGAGUUGCGAACUCGCGAGAGUAAGCUAAUCUCUUAAAGCCAUUCUCAGUUCGGAUUGUACG